Long non-coding RNA from Helianthus annuus (common sunflower), 186 nucleotides. RefSeq lists it as uncharacterized. The transcript is spliced from 3 exons. NCBI's taxonomy places the organism in Eukaryota, Viridiplantae, Streptophyta, Magnoliopsida, Asterales, Asteraceae. The record is from RefSeq and is a predicted model, not a curated record.
CAACUCUCGGGGGGAAAUACAUGUUACUUUGGUAUGGUUAAGCUACGGAAUGAAUUAGUAGAUCAUGUGCGAAUAGGCUGAUACUUAAAGCACCAUUAAUCUUGUUUAAGACCAAGGAACAAAGGGGUAGAUCUAUCGGGUACAGGGCGAGCCCCACUCAUGGGUCCUUGUGUGGCCACAUGGAGU